AACGUACGCUGGCGGCACGCCUAACACAUGCAAGUCGAACGAAGUAGCAAUACUUAGUGGCAGACGGGUGAGUAACAUGUAGGUAUCUGCCCUUUGGCCUGGAAUAACACGAGGAAACUUGUGCUAAUACCGGAUAAGUCUUUACGGAGAAAGCUUUAUGCACCAUUGGAUGAGCCUGCACUUGAUUAGUUUGUUGGUGGGGUAAUGGCCUACCAAGACUGUGAUCAAUAGCUGAUUUGAGAGGAUGAUCAGCCACAUUGGGACUGAGACACGGCCCAAACUCCUACGGGAGGCAGCAGUGGGGAAUCUUGCACAAUGGAGGAAACUCUGAUGCAGCGAUGCCGCGUGAGUGAAGAAGGCCCUUGGGUUGUAAAGCUCUUUCGUCGGGGAAGAAAAUGACUGUACCCGAAUAAGAAGGUCCGGCUAACUUCGUGCCAGCAGCCGCGGUAAUACGAAGGGACCUAGCGUAGUUCGGAAUUACUGGGCUUAAAGAGUUCGUAGGUGGUUGAAAAAGUUAGUGGUGAAAUCCCAGAGCUUAACUCUGGAACUGCCAUUAAAACUUUUCAGCUAGAGUAUGAUAGAGGAAAGCAGAAUUUCUAGUGUAGAGGUGAAAUUCGUAGAUAUUAGAAAGAAUACCAAUUGCGAAGGCAGCUUUCUGGAUCAUUACUGACACUGAGGAACGAAAGCAUGGGUAGCGAAGAGGAUUAGAUACCCUCGUAGUCCAUGCCGUAAACGAUGUGUGUUAGACGUUGGAAAUUUAUUUUCAGUGUCGCAGGGAAACCGAUAAACACACCGCCUGGGGAGUACGACCGCAAGGUUAAAACUCAAAUGAAUUGACGGGGACCCGCACAAGUAGUGGAGCAUGUGGUUUAAUUCGAAGAUACGCGCAGAACCUUACCAACACUUGACAUGUUCGUCGCGACUCUAAGAGAUUAGAGUUUUCGGUUCGGCCGGACGAAACACAGGUGCUGCAUGGCUGUCGUCAGCUCGUGUCGUGAGAUGUUGGGUUAAGUCCCGCAACGAGCGCAACCCUCACUUUUAGUUGCCAUCAUUAGGUUGGGCACUCUGAAAGAACUGCCAGUGAUAAGCUGGAGGAAGGUGGGGAUGACGUCAAGUCCUCAUGGCCCUUACGUGUUGGGCUACACACGUGCUACAAUGGUAUCUACAACAGGAAGCAAGACUGCGAAGUUAAGCAAAUCCCUAAAAGAUACCUCAGUUCGGAUUGCACUCUGCAACUCGAGUGCAUGAAGCUGGAAUUACUAGUAAUCGUGGAUCAGCGUGCCACGGUGAAUGCGUUCCCGGGUCU
Molecule: ribosomal RNA, 1306 nt
Filed under: uncultured bacterium
Lineage: Bacteria
Description: bacterial SSU rRNA
Rfam family: Bacterial small subunit ribosomal RNA
Source: RNAcentral